RNAcentral lists this ribosomal RNA (459 nucleotides) under uncultured bacterium. RNAcentral describes it as "partial 16S ribosomal RNA". It matches the Rfam family "Bacterial small subunit ribosomal RNA", at positions 338 to 795 of the family's 1533-position model. The record is from RNAcentral.
CCUACGGGAGGCAGCAGUGAGGAAUAUUGGUCAAUGGUCGGGAGACUGAACCAGCCAAGCCGCGUGAGGGAUGAAGGUACAGAGUAUCGUAAACCUCUUUUGUCAGGGAACAAAGGCGGGGACGUGUCCCCGGUUGAGUGUACCUGAAGAAAAAGCAUCGGCUAACUCCGUGCCAGCAGCCGCGGUAAUACGGAGGAUGCGAGCGUUAUCCGGAUUUAUUGGGUUUAAAGGGUGCGCGGGCGGGGUGUUAAGUCAGCGGUCAAAGGUCGGGGCUCAACCCGGGCCCGCCGUUGAAACUGGCAGUCUCGAGUUGGAGAGAAGUAUGCGGAAUGCGCGGUGUAGCGGUGAAAUGCAUAGAUAUCGCGCAGAACUCCGAUUGCGAAGGCAGCAUGCCGGCUCCACACUGACGCUGAGGCACGAAAGCGUGGGUAUCGAACAGGAUUAGAUACCCGUGUAGUC